This 429-nucleotide ribosomal RNA is filed under the name Bacteroidota bacterium. RNAcentral's name for it is "Bacteroidetes bacterium partial 16S ribosomal RNA". It matches the Rfam family "Bacterial small subunit ribosomal RNA", at positions 355 to 776 of the family's 1533-position model. The record is from RNAcentral. Lineage: Bacteria; Pseudomonadati; Bacteroidota.
UAGGGAAUCUUCCGCAAUGGACGCAAGUCUGACGGAGCAACGCCGCGUGAGUGAAGAAGGAUUUCGGUUCGUAAAACUCUGUUGUUAGAGAAGAACAGCGCAUAGAGUAACUGUUAUGCGUGUGACGGUAUCUAACCAGAAAGCCACGGCUAACUACGUGCCAGCAGCCGCGGUAAUACGUAGGUGGCAAGCGUUGUCCGGAUUUAUUGGGCGUAAAGCGAGCGCAGGCGGUCAAUUAAGUCUGAUGUGAAAGCCCCCGGCUCAACCGGGGAGGGUCAUUGGAAACUGGUUGACUCGAGUGCAGAAGAGGAGAGUGGAAUUCCAUGUGUAGCGGUGAAAUGCGUAGAUAUAUGGAGGAACACCAGUGGCGAAGGCGACUCUCUGGUCUGUAACUGACGCUGAGGUUCGAAAGCGUGGGUAGCAAACAGG